RNAcentral lists this ribosomal RNA (657 nucleotides) under Triticum aestivum (bread wheat). RNAcentral's name for it is "partial small subunit ribosomal RNA". The record is from RNAcentral. Lineage: Eukaryota; Viridiplantae; Streptophyta; Magnoliopsida; Poales; Poaceae.
AUGACCAAGGCGUUCUACACAGCUCUAUACACUUCUGAAGGUACAGAGAAUAUGCAAGAGGUUAUCAAUGCAGUCCCGCGCAAAGUGACACGCCAAAUGAAUGAUGUCCUGAACACUCCCUACAAAGUCGAGGAAGUAAAAACUGCGUUGUUUCAAAUGUCACCUCAGAAGGCCCCCGGACCGGAUGGUUUUCCUGCACAAUUUUUUCAGAAACAUUGGGAUAUUUGUUCUGAGGAGGUGACUAAAGUUGUCCUUAGAAUUGUGGAAGGCGUGGAAAGUGCCCGUGAGAUCAAUAACACGAUUUUGGUGUUAAUACCAAAGGUAAAAAAUCCCACGCUUCUUACACAGUUCCGUCCCAUCAGCUUAUGCAAUGUUUUGUACAAAAUAGCAUCCAAAGUUAUUGCUAAUCGCUUGAAGAGUGUGCUGCCAGACAUAAUCUCUAAGGAGCAAUCAGCCUUUGUACCAGGCCGUCUUAUUACUGAUAACAUAAUUGCUGCAUAUGAGUGUUUGCAUUUUAUGAAGCGGAAUAAGGCACAAAAAAACAGGCAUUGUGCACUAAAGCUUGACAUGAUGAAGGCCUAUGACAGGGUGGAAUGGAGUUAUCUGAAGGAAAUCAUGUUAAAGCUGGGGUUCACGAGCAGAUGGGUGAAUAUUGUC